CCUACGGGGGGCAGCAGUAGGGAAUAUUGCUCAAUGGGGGAAACCCUGAAGCAGCAACGCCGCGUGGAGGAUGAAGGUUUUCGGAUUGUAAACUCCUGUUGUUAGAGAAGAAAAUGACGGUAGCUAACGAAUAAGCACCGGCUAACGCCGUGCCAGCAGCCGCGGUAAUACGGAGGGUGCAAGCGUUACUCGGAAUCACUGGGCGUAAAGAGCGCGUAGGCGGGUUUGCAAGUCAGAUGUGAAAUCCUAUGGCUUAACCCUAGAACUGCAUUUGAAACGGUUAUUCUAGAGUAUGGGGGGGGUAGGUGGAAUUCUUGGUGUAGGGGUCAAAUCCGUAGAGAUCAAGAGGAAUACUCAUUGCGAAGGCGACCUGCUAGAACAUAACUGACGCUGAUGCGCGAAAGCGUGGGGAGCAAACAGGAUUAGAUACCCUUGUAGUC
This 440-nucleotide ribosomal RNA is filed under the name uncultured bacterium. RNAcentral describes it as "partial 16S ribosomal RNA". It matches the Rfam family "Bacterial small subunit ribosomal RNA", at positions 338 to 795 of the family's 1533-position model. The record is from RNAcentral.